GGAAGAUUGGCAGAGCGGUAAUGCGUCGGGUUGCUACUCCGUAGCCGGGUUCACACCCGCACAGGUUCGAUCCCUGUAUCUUCCG
Transfer RNA from Kitasatospora griseola, 85 nucleotides. It matches the Rfam family "tRNA". Rfam says of the family: Transfer RNA (tRNA) molecules are approximately 80 nucleotides in length. Their secondary structure includes four short double-helical elements and three loops (D, anti-codon, and T loops). NCBI's taxonomy places the organism in Bacteria, Bacillati, Actinomycetota, Actinomycetes, Kitasatosporales, Streptomycetaceae. The record is from Rfam.